UCUCCCCGCCUUCCUUCUCGCGGACCGAGUCUGGGACUUGUACCUUGCGAGCCAAAGAGGCCGCGGCGGGCGGUUGAUCGGUCGGUCUGUUUCGCGCCCGGCCCUUAGUGUGGAGGGACCCCCUCCCCCCUCAACGGGUUCUGAGGGAGUCAGGGGAACUGUGCGGGGACAUUUUAAUUCAGUCACCAAAAUGCAGCUGCCUCCCUGAGCUGGUAUGGUGGUAGAGGGACUGGGAGGCCCCUGUUUGGCAUUGGCCAGGGCUGAGCUGGCACAGCUCCCUCACCCUGCUGCGCCCGGGGAUCUGGGCGGGCUCCUUUAAGGGCCUGUUGUUUGUAAGUCGAUAGACUUCAUCCCUUGGCGGGCUGAACUGUUUCCCUUCCUUCCCUGCCCGGCAUUCUGGGCAGUGCCCUAGCCAUGGGCGGCAGGGGACUAUUUCAAAGAAGGAAAAGGAAUGAUGUUCCUGAAAUUUCUUGGGUUCCUCACCUUUCUGCUUUUGCCAUGAUCAAAUGUUUGGUUGAAGAUGUGCGCUCCAGGUUACGCUCUGGAGUGGCCAUCAACUCACUGGCCCAGUGUGUUGAAGAGCUUGUCCUCAAUAGCAUUGAUGCUAAAGCAACAUGUGUGGCCAUACGGGUGGAUUUGGAAACCUUCAAGGUCCAGGUGGUGGACAAUGGCUCUGGGAUGGGGAGAGAGGAUCUAAAUAAAGUGGGUAAUCGAUAUUUCACUAGUAAGUGCAACUCAGUGGAGGAUUUAGAGAAUCUGAAGUUCUAUGGUUUCCGAGGGGAGGCUGUGGCCAGCAUAGCAAAUAUGGCCAGCAUAGUAGAAAUUUCAUCCAAAACCAACAAUACAGUGAAAACCUUUAUGAAACUCUUUCAGAAUGGGAAAGCACUGGAAGUCUGUGAGGCUGAAUUGACUAGACCAAGUGGUGGAACAACAGUAACUGUGUAUAACCUGUUCCACCAGUUACCAGUGAGGAAAAAGUGCAUGGAUCCCAUGCUGGAAUUUGAGAGGGUGAGGCAGAAGGUAGAGGCUCUUUCGCUCAUACAUCCUUCUGUCUCAUUUUCCUUAAGAAAUGAUGCUUCCUGUUCUAUGAUGCUUCAGCUCCCCAAGACAAAAGAUAUGUGUUCCCGUUUUUGUCAGAUUUAUGGACUGGGAAGAACACAGAAAUUACGAAAAAUAAAUUAUACAUCUGGGGGGUUUGAGUUAAGUGGCUAUAUCAGUUCUGAAGGGCAUUACAAUAAGAAUAUGCAGUUUUUGUAUGUGAAUAAUAGACUGGUUUUAAAAACAAGAUUGCAUAAACUCAUGGACUUUUUAUUAAGGAAAGAAAGUGUUAUUUGCAAGGCAAAAGGUGGCCUUGCCAACAGACAGAUGAGUUCAAGUCCUGUUCGGCAUCGUGGCCCAGAGCUCUAUGGAAUCUUCAUUAUCAAUGUGAAGUGUCAGUAUUGUGAAUAUGAUGUAUGUCUGGAACCUGCAAAAACUCUGAUAGAAUUCCGCAAUUGGGAUGCUCUUUUAGCUUGCAUUGAGGAAGGAGUGAAAACAUUUUUAAAGCAAGAACACUUAUUUGUUGAACUGUCUGGUGAAGACAUAAAAGAAUUUAAUGAAGACAAUGGCUUUAGUUUGUACGGGACCAGAGCUCUGCAGCCUGCACUCUCUGAAGAAAAGAGCAUACAAGACAAUUUUAAGAAAACAUAUGAUGAUAUUGUAGAUUCCUAUGAAAUGUUUAAUUUGCAAUCAAAAACUGUCAAAAGAAAAGUGACUAUUCAGGAAGAGUCUUCAGAUCUCAUAAGUUCAAAUGAUAAUGCAGAAAAGGAAGUCUCCUCAGGUCUGAUCAUUGCUGAACCAGCUGACACAGCGAGUCCUCUGCUCAACAAAGAAGGCACCACUUCUGAUUUCUCAGGAUUAGGUAUCUCAGAACAAGAGCCAAAAGAAUUCAACAAUCCCAAAAUGGUGUUUGUGAGCUGCAAGUCUUCAGAAAAUCUCUCUGGGGAGUCCAGGUCAGAAAGAGUAGAAAUAGACAGUUAUGCUGAAAUGCCAUGUUGUACUGAGAAUUGUGUGGAAGAUGCAAGAACGCAGGAGGACAGUGCAGCUCAGAAAAGCAGCAUCAACAUUGCCUUCGGAAAUGGUGUCACUCAAGAGCAGCAUGAGAGAGUUGAAGAUACAGCUGAUGGACCAGAACUUCUUUGUGGGAGAGCAUUGAUGGGAAUGUCUGAUGUGAUGAAAGAUGACAGUAGAAAAAGUAAAGGGCCAAAUAAUGAUGGUGAAGGAAGGGUUGUUAGAUCAGUACCACUGAAGUUGUGUUCCACAGGCCUUAUAACUCAUGUGAUGCAAAAUCAGCCACCACAUGAACAAACUGAAAUGAAUUGCUCAUUAAACAUGCAUUCUAAACCUGGUCCUGUAAGUGCCAAGGACAUAUUUGGAAACAAGAUGAGCUUUUCAGUUCAGGGUCUAAAUGUUCAGGAUAUUUCUAGUAUUUUAAAUAAAGAGUAUACUACACUACCCAAUAGAGAAGUAUGCAGAGCAUAUGCAUAUGAGUGGUUAGAAAAUGAGACUGUAUCAGGCCAGAAGAAUGAGGAGGUAGCUUCCAUUACUGCAAGAGAUAGAAGGGAGUGUGUAACAUCACACACUAGAGAGUUGCUUCCUGUCACUUCCUUGGGUUUUGCUCAUAAUGAAAAUAAUCCAAGCAACAGAAGACAAAUGGUUGAGCUAUCUGUUAUGCCCAGAACCCAAGCCUAUAAGAAGCUGAGUUUGGCCAUACAGUUGGGGUCUUUAGAGCGAUUCAGGAGACAUUAUGGGAAGGUCAGGAGUGCACCAUCAGUAUCUAUUCCAGAGAAGAGGAGUGAAUUUGAACCUCCAGGUGUUCUUGGUUGUCUAGCUGAUCUUGACACCUUGAAGAAUCAGAAUAAUAAUUUUGAAUGUGUUAACAUUUGUGAAACCCAAGUUCUGGAACAUGCUGAUUCUAAUAUUUGCCACGCUGGUUGCCUCCUUUCCUUGGAGAGGUCUCAGUUCUGUGGCAAAGAAACUUUGUUAAACAGAAAAGCUCCUUGUGUGAGAGAGAGUCCUUUGACAUUGACUGACUACUCUCAAAUUAGAAGAAAAGACCUAAGUAGCAGUAGAUCACUUGGAUCUCUAGCUUCUAAACUGUCCAGAAUGAAGGGUGACCACAAGGAAGUUUUAGCUACAGAAGUUGUGGGACAAGUUGAUGAACAAUUCCAAAGAGAUUCAAGCAGAAAAGGUAACACAUUGCAUCUUUUGUCUCAAACUGAUGAUUUUUUGCAGAGUUCUUAUCAAAUGUGUCAAAGCUCCUCACAAGAAGUAGGGGUAGACGAUUGCAUCCUUGCGUCUGCCUCUGAUGAGCAGGAUGCUCCUUGCAAAAUGUAUAGUACAAGAGGAGGGACUAUGGAAAAUGCCGUGAACCAGUCACUUCUCAUCAACACAGAUGGGGAGUACAUGGCCACCACAAGCAGUGGUUUGGCAUUACACAGUGAAAAGAGUUAUUCUGAGGGCAUCUCUAAAGAUGGAAAUAUUGUGGAUGUAUCUUCAAAGCAGACUUCAAAAGCCACUGAGCUUCCCAAUGUAACUUUGUCAAGUAGUUUGGAAGUACCUGGAGAUGUCACAAAUGCAGUUCAGUCUAAAAAUGAGGAAUCAAUAUUGUGUCCUGUCUGGAUGCAACGUUUUGAUGUUUCACUGGGUAAGAUGGUAUACGUCAAUAAAAUGACUGGACUAAGCACCUACAGUACUCCUCCAACUGAAGAACUUCAGGCUGCUUGUACUAAAGAUAUAACUACAAUGGCUGUGAAUGUUGUCUUACAGAGUGGGUUUCAGUGCAGGUGCCAUCCUUUUAGAAGUGAGCUUGUUCUACCCUUCCUUCCUAGACCUCGGGAAGAGAGGAUUCUGGCAAGCCAGGAUUUCAGAGAUGCUGAUGGGGAGUCUCUCCAGUCCUUGUUUUCAGAGUGGGAUAAUCCUGUAUUUGCUCACUACCCAGAGGUUGCUGUUGAUGUGAGCAGUGGCCAGGCUGGGAGUCUGGCUGUGAAAAUUCAUAAUAUCUUAUAUCCCUAUCGUUUCACCAAGGAAAUGAUUAAUUCAAUGCAGGUUCUUCACCAAGUGGACAAUAAAUUUAUUGCUUGUUUAAUCAACACUAGGAGUGACGUGAAUGCAGAUGCAGAUGGAAACCUGCUGGUGUUGGUGGAUCAGCAUGCAGCCCAUGAGCGUAUCCGCUUGGAGCAACUUAUUGCAGAUUCCUAUGAGAAGCAACCUGAAGAAUCUGGCAAGAAGAAAUUGCUGUCCUCCACCAUCUGUCCCCCACUGGAGAUUGAGGUAACAAAGGAGCAGAGAAGACUUUUACGGUGCUGCCACAAAAGCCUGGAGGAAAUAGGCCUUGAAUUAUCAUUUCCAGAGAACAACAGCUCCCAGAUUCUAGUUGGGAAAGUGCCCCUAUGUUUUAUGGAGAGAGAGGCCAAUGAAUUACGACGGAAAAGACAGCCUGUGGCUAAAAGCAUUGUGGAGGAGUUGAUUCAAGAACAAGUUGAGCUGUUGCAGACCACAGGAGGCGCACAAGGGACACUCCCACUAACCUUUCUAAAGGUGCUGGCUUCCCAGGCAUGCCAUGGAGCUAUUAAGUUUAAUGACAGCUUGACUAAGGAGGAGAGCUGCCAGCUUAUUGAAGCUUUGUCCUCUUGCCAGCUGCCUUUCCAGUGUGCUCAUGGGAGACCUUCCAUGAUGCCACUUGCAGACAUAGACCACCUGAAGCAGGAAAAGCAGGGAGUCACACUAUUGGUAAUACUCUGCAAUUGAAACACUGUUUUAAACUCAUCUAAGGACAAACUGGAGGGAAUUCAAAGAAGAGCAACAAAAAAAUGGCCAGGGAACUGCAGGAGACUUAUGAGGAGAGAAUACGAGUUAAUUUCUUAGGAAAUGGCUGCCUGAAACAGUACAUUUGCUCUGUGUGCCUGAAUGGGUAAAUCUAUUUGAAAGGUGGAAUUAUUUAGGAUGAUAUGAGGAGUUAUAACCAAGAGAUCUGGGAUGAAAUAAAGAAAGAAAAUCUAGGCUGAAGAUCAGGAGACCAGUCAAGCCUAAACCUAAUUUGUCUAAACUGCGGAGAAUGGCCCAAGCCUGGCAGCUGUUUGGGAAACAAAGGACAGCACUUGGAAGUGUGAGCUAAAAACCAGACCCUCCAGGAAUAUUGAUGUCACACAACCCUUAAUACUUCCAGCCAGCAACGUGAAACCAAUGUUGCUGCUUGGAUGCAACUCCUGAGCCAGGACGGUAUCAGAAGUACUACCUUCACAGCUGACCUUCUGAGGAGUCAAGAUAAUCCGUGGGAAUGUGGCAGGAGAAGGCUCCUAUAGUCCAGAGAAGAGGCUUCAAUGUUCAGAAAUUAUAUUGUGUGCCCAGACUUGGCUAUUCAAGGAUAGAAAGAGUCUCACACUUGCAAGUGUUAAAUUCCCUUCUUGUGAGAAUGGCAGGAUUCCUCAUGGCGGAAGGGUGGUUUUAAUGUAUUUACAAUGCUUGAAAGUGUAGAUGGCUAAGUAUUUAUUAAUAAACCAACACCACUUUCCUCAGG
This is an RNA transcript of Mauremys reevesii (Reeves's turtle), 5557 nucleotides long. It is a transcript of the gene named mutL homolog 3, with no coding region annotated. The record is from RefSeq and is a predicted model, not a curated record. The transcript is spliced from 15 exons. NCBI's taxonomy places the organism in Eukaryota, Metazoa, Chordata, Testudines, Geoemydidae.